RNAcentral lists this ribosomal RNA (460 nucleotides) under uncultured bacterium. RNAcentral's name for it is "partial 16S ribosomal RNA". It matches the Rfam family "Bacterial small subunit ribosomal RNA", at positions 338 to 795 of the family's 1533-position model. The record is from RNAcentral.
CCUACGGGGUGCAGCAGUGAGGAAUAUUGGUCAAUGGGCGGAAGCCUGAACCAGCCAAGUAGCGUGCAGGAUGACGGCCCUACGGGUUGUAAACUGCUUUUAUACGGGAAUAACGCGCCUUACGUGUAGGGCUUUGCAUGUACCGUAUGAAUAAGGACCGGCUAAUUCCGUGCCAGCAGCCGCGGUAAUACGGAAGGUCCGGGCGUUAUCCGGAUUUAUUGGGGUUAAAGGGAGCGUAGGCCGCAUGUCAAGCGUGCUGUGAAAUGUCCGGGCUCAACCCGGGCCGUGCAGCGCGAACUGGGGUGCUUGAGUCCGCGGAAAGCAGGCGGAAUUCGUCGUGUAGCGGUGAAAUGCUUAGAUAUGACGAAGAACCCCGAUUGCGAAGGCAGCUUGCUGCAGCGGAACUGACGCUGAUGCUCGAAAGCGCGGGUAUCGAACAGGAUUAGAUACCCCGGUAGUC